RNAcentral lists this ribosomal RNA (1412 nucleotides) under Bifidobacterium aesculapii. Its description in RNAcentral is "bacterial SSU rRNA". Lineage: Bacteria; Bacillati; Actinomycetota; Actinomycetes; Bifidobacteriales; Bifidobacteriaceae. The record is from RNAcentral.
GCUCAGGAUGAACGCUGGCGGCGUGCUUAACACAUGCAAGUCGAACGGGAUCCCRGRYUUCGGYUUGGGUGAGAGUGGCGAACGGGUGAGUAAUGCGUGACCGACCUGCCCCAUACUCCGGAAUAGCUCCUGGAAACGGGUGGUAAUGCCGGAUGBACCRCRYYAUCGCAUGGUGGUGUGGGAAAGWUUKWUWCGGUGUGGGAUGGGGUCGCGUCCUAUCAGCUUGUUGGUGGUGUAAGGGACCACCAAGGCUUUGACGGGUAGCCGGCCUGAGAGGGCGACCGGCCACAUUGGGACUGAGAUACGGCCCAGACUCCUACGGGAGGCAGCAGUGGGGAAUAUUGCACAAUGGGCGCAAGCCUGAUGCAGCGACGCCGCGUGCGGGAUGGAGGCCUUCGGGUUGUGAACCGCUUUUAUCAGGGAGCAAGGCUUUUGUUGAGUGUACCUGGUGAAUAAGCACCGGCUAACUACGUGCCAGCAGCCGCGGUAAUACGUAGGGUGCAAGCGUUAUCCGGAUUUAUUGGGCGUAAAGGGCUCGUAGGCGGUUCGUCGCGUCUGGUGUGAAAGCCCAUCGCUUAACGGUGGGUCUGCGCCGGGUACGGGCGGGCUGGAGUGCGGUAGGGGAGACUGGAAUUCCCGGUGUAACGGUGGAAUGUGUAGAUAUCGGGAGGAACACCAAUGGCGAAGGCAGGUCUCUGGGCCGUUACUGACGCUGAGGAGCGAAAGCGUGGGGAGCGAACAGGAUUAGAUACCCUGGUAGUCCACGCCGUAAACGGUGGAUGCUGGAUGUGGGGCCUUUUUCCAUGGGUCCCGUGUCGGAGCCAACGCGUUAAGCAUCCCGCCUGGGGAGUACGGCCGCAAGGCUAAAACUCAAAGAAAUUGACGGGGGCCCGCACAAGCGGCGGAGCAUGCGGAUUAAUUCGAUGCAACGCGAAGAACCUUACCUGGGCUUGACAUGUUCCCGRCGRCSGYAGAGAUGYSGYUUCCCUUCGGGGCGGGUUCACAGGUGGUGCAUGGUCGUCGUCAGCUCGUGUCGUGAGAUGUUGGGUUAAGUCCCGCAACGAGCGCAACCCUCGCCCCGUGUUGCCAGCAGUUCGGCUGGGGACUCGCGGGGGACCGCCGGGGUCAACUCGGAGGAAGGUGGGGAUGACGUCAGAUCAUCAUGCCCCUUACGUCCAGGGCUUCACGCAUGCUACAAUGGCCGGUACAACGGGAUGCGACGYCGYGAGGCGGAGCGGAUCCCUGAAAACCGGUCUCAGUUCGGAUUGGAGUCUGCAACCCGACUCCAUGAAGGCGGAGUCGCUAGUAAUCGCGAAUCAGCAACGUCGCGGUGAAUGCGUUCCCGGGCCUUGUACACACCGCCCGUCAAGUCAUGAAAGUGGGCAGCACCCGAAGCCGGUGGCCCAACCAGU